This 386-nucleotide ribosomal RNA is filed under the name uncultured Glomus. RNAcentral's name for it is "SSU rRNA". It matches the Rfam family "Eukaryotic small subunit ribosomal RNA", at positions 539 to 934 of the family's 1831-position model. Lineage: Eukaryota; Fungi; Glomeromycota; Glomeromycetes; Glomerales; Glomeraceae. The record is from RNAcentral.
GGGGUUGGAGGGCAAGUCUGGUGCCAGCAGCCGCGGUAAUUCCAGCUCCAAUAGCGUAUAUUAAAGUUGUUGCAGUUAAAAAGCUCGUAGUUGAAUUUCGGGAUCAGUAGGUUGGUCAUGCCUAUGGUAUGUACUGGCUUUACUGGUUCCUCCUUCUUGAUGAUCUGUAAUGUCAUUAAUUUGGUGUUGCAGGGAGUCAGGACUGUUACUUUGAAAAAAUUAGAGUGUUUAAAGCAGGCAUACGCUUGAAUACAUUAGCAUGGAAUAAUGAAAUAGGACGUUCGAUCCUAUUUUGUUGGUUUCUAGGAUUGACGUAAUGAUUAAUAGGGAUAGUUGGGGGCAUUAGUAUUCAAUUGUCAGAGGUGAAAUUCUUGGAUUUAUUGAAG